CCCUUAGAUGUUCUGGGCCGCACGCGCGCUACACUGACGAAUGCAACGAGCUUAUAACCUUGGCCGAAAGGUCUGGGUAAUCUCCAAAUUUCGUCGUGAUGGGGAUAGAUUAUUGCAAUUAUUAAUCUUCAACGAGGAAUGCCUAGUAAGCGCAAGUCAUCAGCUUGCGUUGAUUACGUCCCUGCCCUUUGUACACACCGCCCGUCGCUCCUACCGAUUGAAUGGUCCGGUGAAUACUUCGGACCGUUUGCAUAGAUGGUUCGCCAUCUUUGCGAAUGGAAAGUCGAGUGAACCUUACUGCUUAGAUGAAGGAGAAGUCGUAACA
RNAcentral lists this ribosomal RNA (325 nucleotides) under uncultured eukaryote. RNAcentral describes it as "partial 18S ribosomal RNA". It matches the Rfam family "Eukaryotic small subunit ribosomal RNA", at positions 1470 to 1796 of the family's 1831-position model. The record is from RNAcentral.